This 72-nucleotide transfer RNA is filed under the name Streptomyces sp. 3211.6. RNAcentral describes it as "tRNA-Ser". It matches the Rfam family "tRNA". Rfam says of the family: Transfer RNA (tRNA) molecules are approximately 80 nucleotides in length. Their secondary structure includes four short double-helical elements and three loops (D, anti-codon, and T loops). Lineage: Bacteria; Bacillati; Actinomycetota; Actinomycetes; Kitasatosporales; Streptomycetaceae. RNAcentral also lists the same sequence under 1 other name. The record is from RNAcentral.
GGGGCCGUAGCACAGAGGUCGUUGCGCUUCCUUGCUCAGGAGGAGGACGCCGGUUCGAAUCCGGCCGCCCCG